UUUGUUUUCGAGUUUGACUCGGUUUUUGCCUUCUCUUCGGCAUUUUAACAUUUGUUUCGAGUUGCACAAGUGGCAAGAAUCAUGCUGGCUAGUGAAGACAGGGAACAACGAAUAUUUAAACCUCAAGAAAUUUCGUAAAGACGUUAUUUGUAAAGGUAAAAAUAUACUGUUUAUAUGUUCAAUAUUUAUUUGUGAUAAAGUAGGUCAAAACAAAGCGAAAUAAACAGCCUAUUUGUACUGUGUAGUGGACAAUUUUAGCAACUGAUGUAUACAAUUAAGUUGCCAGAACUAUAUUAAUACGAGAAACAGUCUUUCUCGAAAGCAAAUGGUUGAAAUUUCAGAUUUUAGUGUCAUUUGUUAUUUCAAAUUUUACGAUAUAAAAUGCCAUUUUUGACCACCAUCUGCUUCAUGAUACUACUUAGUAAAUUUAAAGUGCUUUCUAUUAUAUUAGUAUACCUAUAGAGGAAGACCUUUUUAAGCCAGAACUAUCAUGACUUUGAAUUUAUAUUUAAUCCAUGUACUUAACUGGCCACUGAUGGCAAUGAAAUUAUAAUGUGUAGAAUUAUCAAGUCUAUCAAGAUCCAAAAAUUGGCUGUUAAAUUCUACCAACUUCUGUUGAAGCUAGUUUCAUAUAUAAGAUCAGGUUUAGAGGCCUGAAGCAUUUUCCCUAGAAAUUGCAUAAGUAAAAUCAAUUUCAUAAUUAACCCAUUGAGCCGCAAUGCGCCCUACUUAUUUUUUACUUGUAAUGCCAGACGAUAUUAUACUCGUCAAUGGGUCAUUCCAGAAAACAUCUAUACCACCCCCACGGAGGAAAUAGGAAGUUAACCCCCCUACCCCCUUCGGAUGUCCUAAAUAAUUAAAUAGUACAUUUACUAUUAUCAGAAACAAUUUUUUCUCCCCUCCCUCUCCGGACGGUAGAAAUUUCAUCAGUGGGGAGAGUAUGGAUCUUUUCUGGAACGACCCAUUGGGGAAGCUCUGCAGCUUAAUGGGGUUAAGAAAAUGAAACAUUCUUGAUGAUAUUUGAUGUUGGUAAUUCAUGCAUUUUUGGAGGAAAAUAUUUUACAGUGGUUUUCACCUGACACCGAACCCCAAUAUUUACAUGCUAUUUGUCUGAACUAUUUUCCUCAUUCUUUCAACAUGCCAAAGUGAUACAAAAUAAAUUUCAGUUGAAUUCAAACAAGUCCUCAGGCCCUGAGUUGUCAAGACUAUCACCUUAAUUGUUAGCAGCAUGUAUCUGCUAAGCCCUGGGUUCAAAUGAGUGGAAUUUCAAGAGCAUUUUGACCAGCUUUGUGCACACAGGUGGCCUUACCGGUCAGGAUGAGGGCCAGUUAAGGUUACAGUUGGGUGUCGGCAAGGUUCAUGUAAACUUAUUGUUAGCAAGAAUGUUAUGUGUACACAAUCAUGUGUAAUGUCGUAUUGGAUUAAUAGCAGUUAAAUGUUGGGAUCCAGUAUCGAACAAUAACCACAACAAUUAUUAUAUAAAGUAUUUGGUUGUUUUAGUGUAAUAUUCAUUUCUCACAUAUUUUUUUCAGAAAUAAAGUACCAUUCAGCAACUUGUUGGGAAAGAGGAGUCACAAACUGUUGAUGAAUAUAUUUAAUUAACUACAUCCACAUAAAAUACAAUUUUAUUAACAGUAUCUUGAUUUAUGGGUUAUUAGAUGAC
This is a non-coding RNA of Paramuricea clavata, 1663 nucleotides long. The record is from the annotation of a GenBank genome assembly. Lineage: Eukaryota; Metazoa; Cnidaria; Anthozoa; Malacalcyonacea; Plexauridae.